This 558-nucleotide ribosomal RNA is filed under the name Nakaseomyces glabratus. RNAcentral's name for it is "eukaryotic LSU rRNA". It matches the Rfam family "Eukaryotic large subunit ribosomal RNA", at positions 104 to 667 of the family's 3401-position model. The record is from RNAcentral. Lineage: Eukaryota; Fungi; Ascomycota; Saccharomycetes; Saccharomycetales; Saccharomycetaceae.
AAAGCUCAAAUUUGAAAUCUGGUACCUUUGGUGCCCGAGUUGUAAUUUGGAGAGUACCACUUUGGGACUGUACUUUGCCUAUGUUCCUUGGAACAGGACGUCAUGGAGGGUGAGAAUCCCGUGUGGCGAGGGUGUCAGUUCUUUGUAAAGGGUGCUCGAAGAGUCGAGUUGUUUGGGAAUGCAGCUCUAAGUGGGUGGUAAAUUCCAUCUAAAGCUAAAUACAGGCGAGAGACCGAUAGCGAACAAGUACAGUGAUGGAAAGAUGAAAAGAACUUUGAAAAGAGAGUGAAAAAGUACGUGAAAUUGUUGAAAGGGAAGGGCAUUUGAUCAGACAUGGUGUUUUGCGCCCCUUGCCUCUCGUGGGCUUGGGACUCUCGCAGCUCACUGGGCCAGCAUCGGUUUUGGCGGCCGGAAAAAACCUAGGGAAUGUGGCUCUGCGCCUCGGUGUAGAGUGUUAUAGCCCUGGGGAAUACGGCCAGCCGGGACCGAGGACUGCGAUACUUGUUAUCUAGGAUGCUGGCAUAAUGGUUAUAUGCCGCCCGUCUUGAAACACGGACC